AUUUUCUUGCUGCAAGAAGCCAGACGGACAGAUAGAGUGAGACGGGGGCAAAAAGACAGACAAAGAUAGACACAGAGAGAGAAACAAAGAGACAGAAACAGGAAGGGAGUCUUCAGCCCACUUCUCCUCUGCCUGAUUGUUGUGUAGUUUAAGGUUAAUGUAGGUGUGGAAUGUUGCUGGUCUUCUCAAAAUCUCAGUAGUGAAGAACAUGCAAAUGAUCUCAACCAAACCCACUGAACAACCAAAAGCUGCAAAACUCAACUCUGAACACCAGAAGCUUCCCCAUACGGGCGUGUCUGUGUUUGAGACGGACAGGCGUGUCUGUGUUUGAGACAGACGGGCGUGUCUGUAUUGGAGACAUUUUGGCGUGGCUGUAUUUGCGACAGGCGUGGUCUGCAAAACUCAACUCUGAACACCAGAAGCUUCCCCAUGUUUCUCUCCUUCCUUCUUCCCCAUCGAAUUAAACAUGCUCCUGAGGUACCAGUGCUCCUGUCCCUUACUUCUUUCUGGACCUCUGAGCAGAGCUCUUUUCUAUUGGAAACCGCUCGCUGCUGCUGAGGAAGGUUCCACAUAAACAGCCUAAAGACCCAUGAGGUUCCUGUGGAGGAUAAACUGAAGAACAAUGAAGAUGGAUUUGGAGUUAAAUUUAUAUAAACAGCCACCGGCUUGUUCAUCAGGUACAAACUUACACUUAUAAAGAACAUAUUCA
This is a long non-coding RNA of Silurus meridionalis, 709 nucleotides long. RefSeq lists it as uncharacterized. The record is from RefSeq and is a predicted model, not a curated record. The transcript is spliced from 3 exons. Lineage: Eukaryota; Metazoa; Chordata; Actinopteri; Siluriformes; Siluridae.